UACAGAGGGUGCGAGCGUUGUUCGGAAUUACUGGGCGUAAAGGGCGCGUAGGCGGAUGUUUAAGUCAGCGGUGAAAGCCCAGGGCUCAACCUUGGAACUGCCAUUGAUACUGGACAUCUUGAGUACGGGAGAGGUGAGUGGAACACCGAGUGUAGAGGUGAAAUUCGUAGAUAUUCGGUAGAACACCAGUGGCGAAGGCGACUCACUGGCCCGUUACUGACGCUGAGGCGCGAAAGCGUGGGGAGCAAACAGG
Molecule: ribosomal RNA, 253 nt
Filed under: uncultured bacterium
Lineage: Bacteria
Description: partial 16S ribosomal RNA
Rfam family: Bacterial small subunit ribosomal RNA
Source: RNAcentral